Molecule: unclassified non-coding RNA, 220 nt
Filed under: rhizosphere metagenome
Description: partial ribosomal RNA internal transcribed spacer region
Source: RNAcentral
AAUCAGUAGCUUGCUACUGUGCUGGGGGGGAUGGGAAAGUCCUGGCUGAAAAGUCAGCGUAUCGGUACCUGCACCCCUAUCAUACCCUUGUCUUUUGAGUACUUAUGUUUCCUUGGUAGGCUUGCCUGCCAGUUGGACAAACUUUAAACCUUUUUAUAUAUAAAUCAGCGUCUGAAAAUAAUUAAUAAUUACAACUUUCAACAACGGAUCUCUUGGUUCU